CGGCUUUGAAUCCCUUCAUGGGCGAGUUUCUUUGGCAAGUUUCCAGCAUUUACUUUCUUUCAUUUGUAAGUGUUCUUUUUCGUUUCUUUCCUUCUUUCUUUUUUUUUUUUAAAUUUUUUUCGAUUUUUUCCUUUUUCUUCUAACAAAAUAAUUUUCCUUCUAUUUUUUCCUUUUCCUUUUCUUUUUCACUUUCUUUUUUUUUUCCUUUUUUUUCUUCUUUUUAAUUAUAUUUUUUAUUUUUAUUUUUUCUUCUUUGUGAUAAAUAAUACUAUUUCUCUUUGUAAAUGACAAUAUUUUUUUUGAUAAAUGACACCAUCGAUAUUAAUAAAUGAUACUAUAUUUAUA
Molecule: long non-coding RNA, 345 nt
Filed under: Salvia miltiorrhiza (redroot sage)
Lineage: Eukaryota; Viridiplantae; Streptophyta; Magnoliopsida; Lamiales; Lamiaceae
Description: long non-coding RNA (SMIL_LNC001278)
Source: RNAcentral